GCCUAAAGCGUCCGUAGCCGGCUCUGUAAGUUUUCGGUUAAAUCUGUAUGCUCAACAUACAGGCCGCCGGGAAUACUGCAGAGCUAGGGAGUGGGAGAGGUAGACGGUACUCGGGAGGAAGUGGUAAAAUGCUUUGAUCUCCCGAUGACCACCUGUGGCGAAGGCGGUCUACCAGAACACGUCCGACGGUGAGGGAUGAAAGCUGGGGGAGCAAACCGGAUUAGAUACCCGGGUAGUCCCAGCCGUAAACUAUGCAAACUCAGUGAUGCAUUGGCUUGUGGCCAAUGCAGUGUUGCAGGGAAGCCGUUAAGUUUGCCGCCUGGGAAGUACGUACGCAAGUAUGAAACUUAAAGGAAUUGGCGGGGGAGCACCACAAGGGGUGAAGCCUGCGGUUCAAUUGGAGUCAACGCCAGAAAUCUUACCCGGAGAGACAGCAGAAUGAAGGUCAAGCUGAAGACUUUACCAGACAAGCUGAGAGGUGGUGCAUGGCCGUCGCCAGCUCGUGCCGUGAGAUGUCCUGUUAAGUCAGGUAACGAGCGAGAUCCCUGCCUCUAGUUGCCACCAUUACUCUCAGGAGUAGUGGGGCGAAUUAGCGGGACCGCCGCAGUUAAUGCGGAGGAAGGAAGGGGCCACGGCAGGUCAGUAUGCCCCGAA
RNAcentral lists this ribosomal RNA (654 nucleotides) under uncultured archaeon. RNAcentral's name for it is "bacterial SSU rRNA". It matches the Rfam family "Archaeal small subunit ribosomal RNA", at positions 508 to 1160 of the family's 1478-position model. The record is from RNAcentral.